Molecule: ribosomal RNA, 771 nt
Filed under: uncultured Balsamia
Lineage: Eukaryota; Fungi; Ascomycota; Pezizomycetes; Pezizales; Helvellaceae
Description: eukaryotic LSU rRNA
Rfam family: 5.8S ribosomal RNA (bases 381-534)
Source: RNAcentral
GGGCCUGUAGACCUUGCCUCAUGCUGGAGCGUGAACCCCAGUCGCAGCUCGCGGCACGGCCCCGGACCCAAGUUGUGCUUUCAUUACUACUGCAAUGAACACACACCCCUGGCUGCUGAAACAUAAUGGUAUGAAAGGGGUCAAGCUCAUGAGGGUCUGGUAAGACGUCCGCCUCGGCUGGGAAGCUCCGCAUUCCAUCCACCCUCACGGUGUAUAUAUCCACGUUGCUUCCCCGGGGCAGCAGCAAGCCUGCCCUGGCCAUCCAUGCCCCCUACAGGCAUGUGUAACUGGGAGUUUCCCGGGGAAGGUACCCUUCAAAACCGCAUAUUCUUGCCAACCUAAGUCUGACAGGCCUUUGGCCUACAACAAAACCUUGCAAAAACUUUCAACAACGGAUCUCUUGGUUCUCGCAUCGAUGAAGAACGCAGCGAAUUGCGAUAAGUAAUGUGAAUUGCAGAAUUCAGUGAAUCAUCGAAUCUUUGAACGCACAUUGCGCCCCCUGGCAUUCCGGGGGGCAUGCCUGUUUGAGCGUCUCAUGCAUCAAUACUCACACAUGUUGUGGUGAUGGCCGAUGUGGCGGCUGCCUCCAGCAGCUUCACAAGGCAGAAAAUCAUAGGCGGAAGACACCUGCAGUCAGUGCGUAGUAUGUAUCCAAAGCCGCAUUGAGUGUAGAGUGUGCCUCUUGCCCUGGCCCACAGGGCUCCUUUAUCAAUCACUGCAUUCCUCAGAUCAGGUAGGGAUACCCGCUGAACUUAAGCAUAUCAAUAAGCG